AGACCCGAAACCCGGUGAUCUAGCCAUGGGCAGGUUGAAGGUUGGGUAACACUAACUGGAGGACCGAACCGACUAAUGUUGAAAAAUUAGCGGAUGACCUGUGGCUGGGGGUGAAAGGCCAAUCAAACCGGGAGAUAGCUGGUUCUCCCCGAAAGCUAUUUAGGUAGCGCCUCGUGAAUUCAUCUCCGGGGGUAGAGCACUGUUUCGGCUAGGGGGCCAUCCCGGCUUACCAACCCGAUGCAAACUGCGAAUACCGGAGAAUGUUAUCACGGGAGACACACGGCGGGUGCUAACGUCCGUCGUGAAGAGGGAAACAACCCAGACCGCCAGCUAAGGUCCCAAAGUCAUGGUUAAGUGGGAAACGAUGUGGGAAGGCCCAGACAGCCAGGAUGUUGGCUUAGAAGCAGCCAUCAUUUAAAGAAAGCGUAAUAGCUCACUGGUCGAGUCGGCCUGCGCGGAAGAUGUAACGGGGCUAAACCAUGCACCGAAGCUGCGGCAGCGACGCUGAUGCGUUGUUGGGUAGGGGAGCGUUCUGUAAGCCUGUGAAGGUGGCCUGUGAGGGUUGCUGGAGGUAUCAGAAGUGCGAAUGCUGACAUAAGUAACGAUAAAGCGGGUGAAAAGCCCGCUCGCCGGAAGACCAAGGGUUCCUGUCCAACGUUAAUCGGGGCAGGGUGAGUCGACCCCUAAGGCGAGGCCGAAAGGCGUAGUCGAUGGGAAACGGGUUAAUAUUCCCGUACUUGGUGUUACUGCGAAGGGGGGACGGAGAAGGCUAUGUUGGCCGGGCGACGGUUGUCCCGGUUUAAGCGUGUAGGUGUGUGUUCCAGGUAAAUCCGGUUCACUUUAAC
Molecule: ribosomal RNA, 845 nt
Filed under: Salmonella enterica subsp. enterica serovar Oranienburg
Lineage: Bacteria; Pseudomonadati; Pseudomonadota; Gammaproteobacteria; Enterobacterales; Enterobacteriaceae
Description: partial 23S ribosomal RNA
Rfam family: Bacterial large subunit ribosomal RNA
Source: RNAcentral